CAGUAGCCGCGGGAAUACGAAGGGGGCUAGCGUUGCUCGGAAUGACUGGGCGUAAAGGGCGCGUAGGCGGUUGGUACAGUCAGAUGUGAAAUUCCUGGGCUUAACCUGGGGGCUGCAUUUGAUACGUGCUGGCUUGAGUGGGGAAGAGGGUCGUGGAAUUCCCAGUGUAGAGGUGAAAUUCGUAGAUAUUGGGAAGAACACCGGUGGCGAAGGCGGCGACCUAGUCCUUUGCUGACGCUGAGGCGCGAAAGCGUGGGGAGCAAACAGGAUUAGAUACCCCCGUAGUCCCUGUCUCUUAUAC
RNAcentral lists this ribosomal RNA (301 nucleotides) under uncultured bacterium. RNAcentral's name for it is "partial 16S ribosomal RNA". It matches the Rfam family "Bacterial small subunit ribosomal RNA", at positions 509 to 807 of the family's 1533-position model. The record is from RNAcentral.